GAAGUGCUGCUGAGUCUUCUCUAUUUGAUGGGGGAGGGACAACAGGAGGUUUGGAAUCUUAAGGAGCAAGAAGGUUCUGACUGGAAGAUAGAUAGUUCUCUCAGCCUUGAAAUGGAAAAGGGGAAGGUCUGACCAAGACUUGAUCCUGAGAAAAGACUCAUCUUUUUCUCCUGGUGACUGGACAUCCUUCCCCCCAUCAAUUCCCAACCAAAGUGGCCAGCUGGAGAAGACAACAAAGACUCUCUACCAUUCUUAUGCUAACAGUCUGUAUGAUGAAGCUUCCAGGAUUCUUCUUUUGAUCAUGUGGGUACUCCCUCUACUGGUGAACAUAGGACUCCUACACUGGAGAAUACUAUCUUCAAGACUUUCUGUGGCUGGGAAAAAUCAAUGUAUUCUAAAGGUGCCCACAGAGGAGGAAGGUCCAAGUUUAUCUACUAGAUAGGUCACCAGAAGCUGAGCUAAGGUUGGGAAGAAAAGCAUCAUUUCUCCUACAUUCCCCUAUUUUUCCUCUUUAAAACAGGUAAAUGAUCUUGAUCUGUCUAACUCUGCUCUGCUUAUUUUCCUCCUAUUCUUGUUAUUUUGUGUUUGUUCUGUUUUUCUUUUUUCCAUAAUAGGAUUCCCACUGGACUCAGGAACUCAAGCCAUGGCAACCCAGUAGGCAUGAUUCCAGGGUAGAUGUGCAGCCAGGCAGCCCAAGAGGAAAUCCUGAAGAAGCCAAAUUUCCCAGGACUAGAGUCCAAAAGAAUCUGAACUUUUAAGUAUGGUAGGACUUUACUAUAUAGGAAUUGAGCACAACCAUGAAUCUAAUUUCUUUCUUCUCCCCAGAGUAUGGGGUGGUACAGGGAAGGAAUGUGCCUUUGAGUAUGAGGGAAUGUUUAUGUGUUUAUUUUUAUUAUACCUUUGAAAUAAAUAAUCUUUUAUAAAUUAUUAUCUUCCUAUU
Molecule: long non-coding RNA, 940 nt
Filed under: Monodelphis domestica (gray short-tailed opossum)
Lineage: Eukaryota; Metazoa; Chordata; Mammalia; Didelphimorphia; Didelphidae
Description: lncRNA (ENSMODG00000032662.2)
Source: RNAcentral